This 215-nucleotide unclassified non-coding RNA is filed under the name Hevea brasiliensis (rubber tree). The record is from RNAcentral. Lineage: Eukaryota; Viridiplantae; Streptophyta; Magnoliopsida; Malpighiales; Euphorbiaceae.
UGUGUCUACGUACUUUUGCACAAAAGCUCUCUGCUACAUUUUUUCUUCCUGGUUUGGAAGCAUGUUAAUCAAGUCUCACCUUAAGUUUCUACCUUGUUGUCCCCAUAAUUAAGCAAACAAUGAAAGAUGAGCUUAGUAAAGAUGUGAUUUUUUGCUUAUGUGGUAACAACGUACUAAAGGUUCGUGACAGGAUGUAUUCUGCUUUUGUGUUUGGG